RNAcentral lists this ribosomal RNA (377 nucleotides) under uncultured bacterium. Its description in RNAcentral is "bacterial SSU rRNA". It matches the Rfam family "Bacterial small subunit ribosomal RNA", at positions 29 to 419 of the family's 1533-position model. The record is from RNAcentral.
AACGAACGCUGGCGGCAGGCCUAACACAUGCAAGUCGAACGCCGUAGCAAUACGGAGUGGCAGACGGGUGAGUAACGCGUGGGAACAUACCCCUCGGUUCGGAAUAACUCAGGGAAACUUGAGCUAAUACCGGAUACGUCCGAGGUUUUGAUCGACCUUGGAGAAAGAUUUAUCGCCGAAGGAUUGGCCCGCGUCUGAUUAGCUUGUUGGUGAGGUAAUGGCUCACCAAGGCGACGAUCAGUAGCUGGUCUGAGAGGAUGAUCAGCCACAUUGGGACUGAGACACGGCCCAAACUCCUACGGGAGGCAGCAGUGGGGAAUAUUGGACAAUGGGCGAAAGCCUGAUCCAGCCAUGCCGCGUGAGUGAUGAAGGCCUGG